Non-coding RNA from Grimontia sp. AD028, 100 nucleotides. The record is from Rfam. Lineage: Bacteria; Pseudomonadati; Pseudomonadota; Gammaproteobacteria; Vibrionales; Vibrionaceae.
CGACCCUUCUGGGUCACCUAGCCAACUGACGUUGUUUGUGAGCACUUCGUUCACUGAAACAAGAUAGCCAACCGACCUAUUUGCGGUUGGCUUUUUUUUU